AGAGUUUGAUCAUGGCUCAGGAUGAACGCUGGCGGCGUGCUUAACACAUGCAAGUCGAACGAAGCAUUUUAGAUGAAGUCUUCGGACGGAUUUUGGGAUGACUGAGUGGCGGACGGGUGAGUAACGCGUGGGCAACCUGCCCUGUACAGGGGGAUAACAGCUGGAAACGGCUGCUAAUACCGCAUAAGCGCACGGGACCGCAUGGCCCUGUGUGAAAAGCUCCGGCAGUACAGGAUGGGCCCGCGUCUGAUUAGGCAGUUGGCGGGGUGACGGCCCACCAAACCGACGAUCAGUAGCCGACCUGAGAGGGUGACCGGCCACAUUGGGACUGAGACACGGCCCAAACUCCUACGGGAGGCAGCAGUGGGGAAUAUUGCACAAUGGGCGCAAGCCUGAUGCAGCGACGCCGCGUGAGCGAAGAAGUAUUUCGGUAUGUAAAGCUCUAUCAGCAGGGAAGAAAACGACGGUACCUGCACAAGAAGCUCCGGCUAAAUACGUGCCAGCAGCCGCGGUAAUACGUAUGGAGCAAGCGUUAUCCGGAAUUACUGGGUGUAAAGGGAGCGUAGACGGCAUGGCAAGUCUGGUGUGAAAGACCGGGGCUCAACCCCGGGCCUGCAUUGGAAACUGCCAAGCUUGAGUGCCGGAGAGGUAAGCGGAAUUCCUAGUGUAGCGGUGAAAUGCGUAGAUAUUAGGAGGAACACCAGUGGCGAAGGCGGCUUACUGGACGGUAACUGACGUUGAGGCUCGAAGGCGUGGGAGCAAACAGGAUUAGAUACCCUGGUAGUCCACGCAGUAAACGA
RNAcentral lists this ribosomal RNA (800 nucleotides) under uncultured bacterium. RNAcentral's name for it is "bacterial SSU rRNA". It matches the Rfam family "Bacterial small subunit ribosomal RNA", at positions 8 to 809 of the family's 1533-position model. The record is from RNAcentral.